UCAUCCACCAGGUUGCAGAUGAGCGUUCCAAGCACACUGCUGGUAUUGUUUUUCCCCGGUGGUUGGACUUCCACGAUGUGGGACUCGAGGAGCCUCCCUUGGUCACCAAGCCUUAUGCCAGGUGUCUACAGAACGUCUGGAGCUCAGGAUUCAGUUUUACAGAGAACGAACAGUUCUGACCGGUGCCUUUGUUUUACUGAAGGUUUUAAUAUAUUUUCCUGCCUACGUGGGCAAACUGCGAUGCUUGUACUUUUCACCUCGUCUCUCCCGGUGUUGCACGUCAGAGGUAAACCGGAUUCGCACCAUUUCAGCCUUUUAGAGGUCCCCGGUGGAGAGGCGAUUUUAUUCCAUAUUCCAGAAGAAAGUAACGGGGAUGAAAAUCGUGGCCAGCGGGGGAAGCCCCCGGCCCCUGCAGGUUGCUCAGCCCAGAAGUCGGUGGUACAGUGCCGCAUCUGCCCAGCACGCACUUCAGGGUUGUUGAACUUCACUCCCCGAGCAGCCACAGAGGUCGCUUCUGAGCAGCACGAAACGUGGUGGAUUUUUUUUUAUUUUUUUAAAUUUUUUUUCCUCCCCACCAAGGCUCUCGGUCCCUCAUGGCCGGAGUGGCAAAGCACGUUUAAAUCCUUAACUCGGAUUUCCCACGUGGUGUCUCGUUGA
RNAcentral lists this long non-coding RNA (657 nucleotides) under Anas platyrhynchos (mallard). RNAcentral's name for it is "lncRNA (ENSAPLG00020014101.1)". Lineage: Eukaryota; Metazoa; Chordata; Aves; Anseriformes; Anatidae. The record is from RNAcentral.